RNAcentral lists this ribosomal RNA (482 nucleotides) under uncultured bacterium. RNAcentral describes it as "bacterial SSU rRNA". It matches the Rfam family "Bacterial small subunit ribosomal RNA", at positions 30 to 507 of the family's 1533-position model. The record is from RNAcentral.
AUUGAACGUUGGCGGCAUGCUUUACACAUGCAAGUCGAACGGUAACAGGUCUUCGGGAUGCUGACGAGUGGCGAACGGGUGAGUAAUGCAUCGGAACGUGCCCAGUCGUGGGGGAUAACGCAGCGAAAGCUGUGCUAAUACCACAUAAUCCCCACGGGGGAAAGCAGGGGAUCUUCGGACCUUGCGCCUUAUGAUGAGCCUACAUCGGAUUAGCUAGUUGGUGGGUAAAGGCCUACCAAGGCGACGAUCCGUAGCUGGUCUGAGAGGAUGACCAGCCACACUGGGACUGAGACACGGCCCAGACUCCUACGAGAGGCAGCAGUGGGGAAUAUUGGACAAUGGGCGAAAGCCUGAUCCAGCAAUGCCGCGUGUGUGAAGAAGGCCUUAGGGUUGUAAAGCACUUUCAGUGGGGAGGAAGUUGUAGAUGCUAAUACCAUUUGCAAUUGACGUUACCCACAGAAGAAGCACCGGCUAACUCUGUG